GUCUACGGCCAUACCACCGUGAACGGGCCCGAUCUCGUCUGAUCUCGGAAGCUAAGCAGGGUCGGGCCUGGUUAGUACUCGGAUGGGAGACUGCCUGGAAACACUGGGUGCUGUGAAUU
This 119-nucleotide ribosomal RNA is filed under the name Cebus imitator (Panamanian white-faced capuchin). Lineage: Eukaryota; Metazoa; Chordata; Mammalia; Primates; Cebidae. The record is from RNAcentral.